This 2146-nucleotide long non-coding RNA is filed under the name Populus trichocarpa (black cottonwood). RNAcentral's name for it is "long non-coding RNA (PTRI_LNC000437)". Lineage: Eukaryota; Viridiplantae; Streptophyta; Magnoliopsida; Malpighiales; Salicaceae. The record is from RNAcentral.
GCUUAAGAAGUAAGAAAUUAAUUAUUGUAAUGAAAUGAUAUCCAGAUUUUUCAAUCUUUAUGCUUUCCCAGUUUGAGUGAAAUUGAGGCUCUUCCCCCAAUUAAUGGAAGUAUUUGAAGAGGAAGAUAAACCUCCAUCUGCUAAUAUUGAGUUGAUUGUUUCAGUCCUGCAGCUUAUGAUUUCAUAUUCCCAUGCCUUGUUGCCAUGUCUACUUCUAUCCUUUUGUUGAUAAGUUUUUUUGCUGAAGUUUUAUAUGGACAAUUCGUUCAUCUAUUUACCAAAAUUAUAUAGUUCAAAAGUGCACAAAAUUUCUUUUGAUGCAGGGGUUGACAAAUUUGAAAACAUUACGCUUGAAGUCUCUGCCUGACAUGAGUUGUAUAUGGAAGGGUCUCGUGCUGAGCAAAUUGACUACUUUGGAGGUAACCUAUCUGGAUAAAAAUUAGACAAGUUUGUCCACUAAAACAACUUUGCACGUAAUAAAAAAUGUUUUUUAUACAAAAGUACAUCAAAUAACUUCACAAAAAAAUUAUUAACAUAUAAGAGCAUAAAUUUUGUGUUGAAAAUUAUUAUUACAAUAUCUUUAAAAAUUUAUUAACUUUAUAACUAAAAUAAAAAUAUUAGUUACUAUUUUUAUUUUUAUUUUUUACAUGAAACUAAUUAUUAGGAGUUGUAGUAACCUUUUUUCGCAAAAAUCUAAUUAUUAUUUAACUUAUCUCUAAUUAAGAAAAAAACUGAAACAAUAAUAUGUAAUCUCUAAAAAGUAUGUAAUCCUGUUUUUUCUUCUUUUUUUCCCAUCAUAUAAAUUGUUUUCAUGAGUGAAAAAAUAUAAUAUUGUUCUCUGAUCAGAUGGCCGUCCAUGGGCAGCAAAACGACUUCUUACAAAGAUUAAAAUAUGUAGAAGUGGACGAUUGUGGGGAUGUUCGCGCUCCGUUUCCAGCAAAAUUGCUGCGAGCUUUGAAAAUUCUAAGCAGUGUGCAAAUUGAGGACUGCAAAUCAUUGGAAGAGGUAUUUGAAUUGGGUGAGCCUUAUGAAGGAAGCAGUGAGGAGAAGGAGCUGCCGCUUCCAUCAUCUUUAACCUGGUUACGGCUGUACCAGUUACCUGAGCUCAAAUGCAUAUGGAAAGGGCCUACCAGCCAUGUCAGCCUCCAAAGUCUUGCUUAUCUGUAUUUGAAUUCUCUGGACAAACUGACAUUUAUCUUUACACCGUCCCUCGUUCAGAGUCUACCACAGCUAGAAAGCCUUCACAUAAAUAAAUGCGGUGAAUUGAAGCAUAUUAUCAGAGAAGAGGAUGGUGAAAGGGAAAUAAUUCCAGAGCCUCCUUGCUUCCCAAAAUUAAAAACUAUCAGCAUAAAAGAGUGUGGUAAACUGGAAUAUGUCUUCCCUGUAUCUGUGUCUCCAAGCCUUCUGAACCUGGAAGAGAUGCAGAUUUUUGAAGCUCAUAAUUUAAAGCAAAUAUUUUACAGUGGAGAAGGAGAUGCACUCACCAGAGAUGCCAUCAUCAAGUUCCCUAAGCUAAGAAGAUUGUCUCUUUCAAAUUGCAGCUUCUUUGCUACAAAGAAUUUUGCUGCCCAAUUGCCUUCCUUGCAAAUUCUAGAAAUUGAUGGCCACAAAGAAUUGGGAAAUUUGUUUGCACAGCUCCAAGUACGUCCUUUAUAUUUCUCCAAUAAUUUUUUUCCUUUUUAAUCUAAAUUGUCAACUUCAAUACAUGUUGAUUUCUUCCUUUAAAUUUCUGAAACUGAAGUAAUUGAUAAGUGGAGAUGAAUCCUUUAGCCAUCCACUAAAUUGAAAAGGAGUUGUCUAAUUGUAUCAUUCCUUGUCUCUUGAUAGAGGGCUUGAGAAGUAAGAAAUUAAUUAUUGUAAUGAAAUCCUACCUAGAUUUUUCAAUCUUUAUAUAUGCUUUCCCAGUUUGAGUGAAAUUGAGGCUCUUCCCCCAAUUAAUGGAAGUAUUUGAAGAGGAAGAUAAACCUCCAUCUGCUAAUAUUGAGUUGAUUGUUUCAGUCCUGCAGCUUAUGAUUUCAUAUUCCCAUGCCUACUUCUAUCCUUUUGUUGAUAAGUUUUUUUGCUGAAGUUUAUAUGGACAAUUCGUUCAUCUAUUUACCAAAAUUAUAUAGUUCAAAAGUGCACAAAAUUUCUUUUGAAGCAGGGG